AACACAUGCAAGUCGAACGAUGAACACCGGAGCUUGCUCUGGUGGGAUUAGUGGCGAACGGGUGAGUAACACGUGAGCAAUCUGCCCCCGACUCUGGGAUAACCCCGAGAAAUCGGAGCUAAUACCGGAUACGACACCUCCUGGCAUCAGGUGGGUGUGGAAAGAAUUUCGGUUGGGGAUGAGCUCGCGGCCUAUCAGCUUGUUGGUGAGGUAAUGGCUCACCAAGGCGACGACGGGUAGCCGGCCUGAGAGGGUGACCGGCCACACUGGGACUGAGACACGGCCCAGACUCCUACGGGAGGCAGCAGUGGGGAAUAUUGCACAAUGGGCGCAAGCCUGAUGCAGCAACGCCGCGUGGGGGACGACGGCCUUCGGGUUGUAAACCUCUUUUGGCAGGGAAGAAGCGAAAGUGACGGUACCUGCAGAAAAAGCACCGGCUAACUACGUGCCAGCAGCCGCGGUAAUACGUAGGGUGCAAGCGUUGUCCGGAAUUAUUGGGCGUAAAGAGCUCGUAGGCGGUGUGUCACGUCUGCUGUGAAAAUCCAAGGCUCAACCUUGGACUUGCAGUGGGUACGGGCACACUCGAGUGCGGUAGGGGAGAUUGGAAUUCCUGGUGUAGCGGUGGAAUGCGCAGAUAUCAGGAGGAACACCGAUGGCGAAGGCAGAUCUCUGGGCCGUAACUGACGCUGAGGAGCGAAAGCGUGGGGAGCGAACAGGAUUAGAUACCCUGGUAAUCCACGCCGUAAACGGUGGGAACUAGAUGUGGGGUCCGUUCCACGGAUUCCGUGUCGCAGCUAACGCAUUAGUUCCCGCCUGGGGGAGUACGGCGCAAGGCUAAACUCAAGGAUUGACGGGGGCCCGCACAGCGGCGGAGCAUGCGGAUUAAUUCGAUGCACGCGGAGAACCUUACCAAGU
This 915-nucleotide ribosomal RNA is filed under the name uncultured bacterium. RNAcentral describes it as "bacterial SSU rRNA". It matches the Rfam family "Bacterial small subunit ribosomal RNA", at positions 50 to 979 of the family's 1533-position model. The record is from RNAcentral.